This 253-nucleotide ribosomal RNA is filed under the name uncultured bacterium. RNAcentral's name for it is "partial 16S ribosomal RNA". It matches the Rfam family "Bacterial small subunit ribosomal RNA", at positions 524 to 776 of the family's 1533-position model. The record is from RNAcentral.
UACGUAGGGUGCAGGCGUUAAUCGGAAUUACUGGGCGUAAAGCGUGCGCAGGCGGUUUGCUAAGACAGGUGUGAAAUCCCCGGGCUUAACCUGGGAACUGCGCUUGUUACUGGCUAGCUGGAGUGUGGCAGAGGGGGGUGGAAUUCCACGUGUAGCAGUGAAAUGCGUAGAGAUGUGGAGGAACACCGAUGGCGAAGGCAGCCCCCUGGGCUAACACUGACGCUCAUGCACGAAAGCGUGGGGAGCAAACAGG